RNAcentral lists this ribosomal RNA (492 nucleotides) under uncultured bacterium. RNAcentral's name for it is "partial 16S ribosomal RNA". It matches the Rfam family "Bacterial small subunit ribosomal RNA", at positions 29 to 507 of the family's 1533-position model. The record is from RNAcentral.
AGUGAGCGCUGGCGGUAGGCCUAACACAUGCAAGUCGAACGGCAGCACAGUAAGAGCUUGCUCUUACGGGUGGCGAGUGGCGGACGGGUGAGGAAUACAUCGGAAUCUACUUUUUCGUGGGGGAUAACGUAGGGAAACUUACGCUAAUACCGCAUACGACCUACGGGUGAAAGCAGGGGAUCUUCGGACCUUGCGCGAUUGAAUGAGCCGAUGUCGGAUUAGCUAGUUGGCGGGGUAAAGGCCCACCAAGGCGACGAUCCGUAGCUGGUCUGAGAGGACGAUCAGCCACACUGGAACUGAGACACGGUCCAGACUCCUACGGGAGGCAGCAGUGGGGAAUAUUGGACAAUGGGCGCAAGCCUGAUCCAGCCAUACCGCGUGGGUGAAGAAGGCCUUCGGGUUGUAAAGCCCUUUUGUUGGGAAAGAAAAGCAGCAGGUUAAUACCCCGCUGUUCUGACGGUACCCAAAGAAUAAGCACCGGCUAACUUCGUG